RNAcentral lists this ribosomal RNA (766 nucleotides) under Agrobacterium tumefaciens. RNAcentral's name for it is "bacterial SSU rRNA". It matches the Rfam family "Bacterial small subunit ribosomal RNA", at positions 31 to 853 of the family's 1533-position model. Lineage: Bacteria; Pseudomonadati; Pseudomonadota; Alphaproteobacteria; Hyphomicrobiales; Rhizobiaceae. The record is from RNAcentral.
CGACGCUGGCGGCAGGCUUACACAUGCAAGUCGAACGCCCCGCAAGGGGAGUGGCAGACGGGUGAGUAACGCGUGGGAACAUACCCUUUCCUGCGGAAUAGCUCUGGGAAACUGGAAUUAAUACCGCAUACGCCCUACGGGGGAAAGAUUUAUCGGGGAAGGAUUGGCCCGCGUUGGAUUAGCUAGUUGGUGGGGUAAAGGCCUACCAAGGCGACGAUCCAUAGCUGGUCUGAGAGGAUGAUCAGCCACAUUGGGACUGAGACACGGCCCAAACUCCUACGGGAGGCAGCAGUGGGGAAUAUUGGACAAUGGGCGCAAGCCUGAUCCAGCCAUGCCGCGUGAGUGAUGAAGGCCUUAGGGUUGUAAAGCUCUUUCACCGAUGAAGAUAAUGACGGUAGUCGGAGAAGAAGCCCCGGCUAACUUCGUGCCAGCAGCCGCGGUAAUACGAAGGGGGCUAGCGUUGUUCGGAAUUACUGGGCGUAAAGCGCACGUAGGCGGAUAUUUAAGUCAGGGGUGAAAUCCCGCAGCUCAACUGCGGAACUGCCUUUGAUACUGGGUAUCUUGAGUAUGGAAGAGGUAAGUGGAAUUCCGAGUGUAGAGGUGAAAUUCGUAGAUAUUCGGAGGAACACCAGUGGCGAAGCGCUUACUGGUCCAUUACUGACGCUGAGGUGCGAAAGCGUGGGGAGCAACAGGAUAGAUACCCUGGUAGUCCACGCCGUAACGAUGAUGUUAGCCGUCGGGCAGUAUACUGUUCGGUGGCGCAGCU